Molecule: transfer RNA, 75 nt
Filed under: Myoviridae sp. ctWb16
Lineage: Duplodnaviria; Heunggongvirae; Uroviricota; Caudoviricetes
Description: tRNA-Gly
Rfam family: tRNA
About the family: Transfer RNA (tRNA) molecules are approximately 80 nucleotides in length. Their secondary structure includes four short double-helical elements and three loops (D, anti-codon, and T loops). Further hydrogen bonds mediate the characteristic L-shaped molecular structure. tRNAs have two regions of fundamental functional importance: the anti-codon, which is responsible for specific mRNA codon recognition, and the 3' end, to which the tRNAs corresponding amino acid is attached (by aminoacyl-tRNA synthetases). tRNAs cope with the degeneracy of the genetic code in two manners: having more than one tRNA (with a specific anti-codon) for a particular amino acid; and 'wobble' base-pairing, i.e. permitting non-standard base-pairing at the 3rd anti-codon position.
Source: RNAcentral
GCGGUAAUGGUAUAAUGGCUAUUACGUUAGCCUUCCAAGCUAAAUAUGUGGGUUCGAUUCCCACUUACCGUACCA